UUAACGCUGAGGUGUGAUGACGAGGCACUACGGUGCUGAAGUGAUAAAUGCCCUGCUUCCAGGAAAAGCCUCUAAGCAUCAGGUAACACGAAAUCGUACCCCAAACCGACACAGGUGGUCAGGUAGAGAAUACCAAGGCGCUUGAGAGAACUCGGGUGAAGGAACUAGGCAAAAUGGUGCCGUAACUUCGGGAGAAGGCACGCUGAUAUGUAGGUGAAGCCCCUGCGGGCGGAGCUGAAAUCAGUCGAAGAUACCAGCUGGCUGCAACUGUUUAUUAAAAACACAGCACUGUGCAAACACGAAAGUGGACGUAUACGGUGUGACGCCUGCCCGGUGCCGGAAGGUUAAUUGAUGGGGUUAGCGGCAACGCGAAGCUCUUGAUCGAAGCCCCGGUAAACGGCGGCCGUAACUAUAACGGUCCUAAGGUAGCGAAAUUCCUUGUCGGGUAAGUUCCGACCUGCACGAAUGGCGUAAUGAUGGCCAGGCUGUCUCCACCCGAGACUCAGUGAAAUUGAACUCGCUGUGAAGAUGCAGUGUACCCGCGGCAAGACGGAAAGACCCCGUGAACCUUUACUAUAGCUUGACACUGAACACUGGUCCUUGAUGUGUAGGAUAGGUGGGAGGCUUUGAAGCGUGGACGCCAGUCUGCGUGGAGCCAACCUUGAAAUACCACCCUUUAAUGGCUGGUGUUCUAACGUAGACCCGUAAUCCGGGUUGCGGACAGUGUCUGGUGGGUAGUUUGACUGGGGCGGUCUCCUCCCAAAGAGUAACGGAGGAGCACGAAGGUUGGCUAAUCCUGGUCGGACAUCAGGAGGUUAGUGCAAUGGCAUAAGCCAGCUUGACUGCGAGCGUGACGGCGCGAGCAGGUGCGAAAGCAGGUCAUAGUGAUCCGGUGGUUCUGAAUGGAAGGGCCAUCGCUCAACGGAUAAAAGGUACUCCGGGGAUAACAGGCUGAUACCGCCCAAGAGUUCAUAUCGACGGCGGUGUUUGGCACCUCGAUGUCGGCUCAUCACAUCCUGGGGCUGAAGUAGGUCCCAAGGGUAUGGCUGUUCGCCAUUUAAAGUGGUACGCGAGCUGGGUUUAGAACGUCGUGAGACAGUUCGGUCCCUAUCUGCCGUGGGCGCUGGAGAAUUGAGGGGGGCUGCUCCUAGUACGAGAGGACCGGAGUGGACGCAUCACUGGUGUUCGGGUUGUCAUGCCAAUGGCACUGCCCGGUAGCUAAAUGCGGAAGAGAUAAGUGCUGAAAGCAUCUAAGCACGAAACUUGCCCCGAGAUGAGUUCUCCCUGAGACUUUAAGUCUCCUGAAGGAACGUUGAAGACGACGACGUUGAUAGGUCGGGUGUGUAAGCGCAGCGAUGCGUUGAGCUAACCGAUACUAAUGAACCGUGAGGCUUAACCUU
RNAcentral lists this ribosomal RNA (1400 nucleotides) under Enterobacter cloacae. Its description in RNAcentral is "bacterial LSU rRNA". It matches the Rfam family "Bacterial large subunit ribosomal RNA", at positions 1550 to 2925 of the family's 2925-position model. Lineage: Bacteria; Pseudomonadati; Pseudomonadota; Gammaproteobacteria; Enterobacterales; Enterobacteriaceae. The record is from RNAcentral.